GUCUAUUUAACAUCAAUUCUCAUCAUGUUCGUCAAAUGAAUUUGACAUUAGUUGAAAAUUUUGGAGCCAAUUUGUGAAAAUUAUUCAGAUUUAUAUGCUUUUCAAAUGGGUUUCUUCAUUAGAACCGUUUAGUUAGGAAAUUCUUAGUUCAUUAGAUUGUUGAUUUUAGGUUUGUUUUGCUAAGUUAUCACUUAUUUGUUUUUAUUUGUAAAAUUAUGAAAUCCUGAGUAGAUUAGAAAUUAAAUUGAGGUUAAUUUUGCUAGAUGGUCACUUAUUAAUUCAAAUGUGUAAAAUUAUAAUACUUAAUUGCAGUUAUGCUAAGAAUUCUGAAACACAUAUUACAAAAAGGUAAUUGGAAUAGGAAUGAUAUGAACUAAAGUGAUCAAAAGAACAAGAACAUGAGAUUUGAGUCGGGGUGACAUUCAAAGCCUUUCUGCAUCUUUCUUGAAUCUGUAAUGGGUCAAAUGGUUGAAAAUGUUCUGAAGAAAUUUGGUAGGAUGACUGGAGCGAGUCAAACGAAUUGAGAGCGAUUACAAGUUGAGUAGCUCCAUUCUAAGAAAUUUUCAUUUACCCUUUUGGCCUGUUACCCAAGUGAGGCAUUGAUAAGAAAAUGGGUCGAGAGUGCCACCUCCAAAUUUAUGUCUAGAGAAAUUACUUCUCAAAAUAACGGUCUAGGUUAUGCCAUUGUUGAGUUAAGUGAACUUACUUCAGAAACCUGCCUUAAAACGGGUAGUAGGUAGGAAAUGGUUCGAAACGAUUAAGUUUUAAAUACAUACCAGUUCAGGUUGUCAUGAACACUUUUUUAUAAGAUCAUAACUAUUUAAUAAAUCUGAAUAAAAUUAAGAAGUAAUAACUUUAGGUGGUUUUAAGCGUUAGUGAAACUUUGGGUGUUUCCAUUUUAGUUAAGUUUUAGAUUUUUACUCAUUUGAGUCUAAAGGACAUAAAUAGGGAGCUUUCUUAUGUUCUGUUUGGGUUACGAGCAUGUAGAAAUAGUAUGAUGUUUGUUAGCUGCAUGGAGUUUAAGAUAAGAUUUUUUCAAAGUAUAAGGAAAUCCAUGAUUUUAUAAAUGCUAUUGAGGUUCUUAUGUUAGAAUAUGUUUUACACCAAGAC
Molecule: long non-coding RNA, 1110 nt
Filed under: Helianthus annuus (common sunflower)
Lineage: Eukaryota; Viridiplantae; Streptophyta; Magnoliopsida; Asterales; Asteraceae
Description: hypothetical non coding rna
Source: RNAcentral